Molecule: transfer RNA, 73 nt
Filed under: Stegodyphus mimosarum
Lineage: Eukaryota; Metazoa; Arthropoda; Arachnida; Araneae; Eresidae
Rfam family: tRNA
About the family: Transfer RNA (tRNA) molecules are approximately 80 nucleotides in length. Their secondary structure includes four short double-helical elements and three loops (D, anti-codon, and T loops). Further hydrogen bonds mediate the characteristic L-shaped molecular structure. tRNAs have two regions of fundamental functional importance: the anti-codon, which is responsible for specific mRNA codon recognition, and the 3' end, to which the tRNAs corresponding amino acid is attached (by aminoacyl-tRNA synthetases). tRNAs cope with the degeneracy of the genetic code in two manners: having more than one tRNA (with a specific anti-codon) for a particular amino acid; and 'wobble' base-pairing, i.e. permitting non-standard base-pairing at the 3rd anti-codon position.
Source: Rfam by way of RNAcentral
GCCUUCUUGGUGUAGUGGUCAGCACGCUCGACGCGUAACCCAGAGGUCCGUGGUUCGAUUCCCGGCGAAGGCG